RNAcentral lists this ribosomal RNA (402 nucleotides) under uncultured Sphingobium sp. Its description in RNAcentral is "partial 16S ribosomal RNA". It matches the Rfam family "Bacterial small subunit ribosomal RNA", at positions 355 to 774 of the family's 1533-position model. The record is from RNAcentral. Lineage: Bacteria; Pseudomonadati; Pseudomonadota; Alphaproteobacteria; Sphingomonadales; Sphingobiaceae.
UAGGGAAUAUUGGACAAUGGGCGAAAGCCUGAUCCAGCAAUGCCGCGUGAGUGAUGAAGGCCUUAGGGUUGUAAAGCUCUUUUACCCGGGAUGAUAAUGACAGUACCGGGAGAAUAAGCCCCGGCUAACUCCGUGCCAGCAGCCGCGGUAAUACGGAGGGGGCUAGCGUUGUUCGGAAUUACUGGGCGUAAAGCGCACGUAGGCGGCGAUUUAAGUCAGAGGUGAAAGCCCGGGGCUCAACCCCGGAAUAGCCUUUGAGACUGGAUUGCUUGAAUCCGGGAGAGGUGAGUGGAAUUCCGAGUGUAGAGGUGAAAUUCGUAGAUAUUCGGAAGAACACCAGUGGCGAAGGCGGCUCACUGGACCGGCAUUGACGCUGAGGUGCGAAAGCGUGGGGAGCAAACA